This 459-nucleotide ribosomal RNA is filed under the name uncultured bacterium. Its description in RNAcentral is "partial 16S ribosomal RNA". It matches the Rfam family "Bacterial small subunit ribosomal RNA", at positions 338 to 795 of the family's 1533-position model. The record is from RNAcentral.
CCUACGGGUGGCUGCAGUGAGGAAUAUUGGUCAAUGGCCGCAAGGCUGAACCAGCCAUGCCGCGUGAAGGUCAGCGCCCUAUGGGCGUUAAACUUCUUUUGUGCGGGAGCAAUAAUGGUCACGUGUGGCCAGUCGAGAGUACCGCACGAAUCAGCAUCCGCUAACUCCGUGCCAGCAGCCGCGGUUAUACGGGGGAUGCAAGCGUUUUCCGGAUUUACUGGGUGUAAAGGGUGCGUAGGCGGGCUUGCAAGGCAGAAGUGAAAUCCAUGGGCUUAACCCGUGAACUGCUGUUGAAACUGUAGGGCUUGAGUGAAGUAGAGGCAGGCGGAAUGCCCGGUGGAGCGGUGAAAUGCGUAGAGAUCGGGAGGAACACCAGUGGCGAAGGCGGCCUGCUGGGCUUUAACUGACGCUGAAGCACGAAAGCGUGGGUAGCAAACAGGAUUAGAUACCCCAGUAGUC